RNAcentral lists this ribosomal RNA (649 nucleotides) under uncultured bacterium. RNAcentral describes it as "bacterial SSU rRNA". It matches the Rfam family "Bacterial small subunit ribosomal RNA", at positions 785 to 1434 of the family's 1533-position model. The record is from RNAcentral.
CCCUGGUAGUNCACGCCGUAAACGAUGAGUGCUAGGUGUUAGGCCCUUUCCGGGGCUUAGUGCCGGAGCUAACGCAAUAAGCACUCCGCCUGGGGAGUACGACCGCAAGGUUGAAACUCAAAGGAAUUGACGGGGGCCCGCACAAGCGGUGGAGCAUGUGGUUUAAUUCGAAGCAACGCGAAGAACCUUACCAGGUCUUGACAUCCCGAUGCUAUUCUUAGAGAUAGGAAGUUACUUCGGUACAUCGGAGACAGGUGGUGCAUGGUUGUCGUCAGCUCGUGUCGUGAGAUGUUGGGUUAAGUCCCGCAACGAGCGCAACCCUUAUUGUUAGUUGCCAUCAUUAAGUUGGGCACUCUAGCGAGACUGCCGGUAAUAAACCGGAGGAAGGUGGGGAUGACGUCAAAUCAUCAUGCCCCUUAUGACCUGGGCUACACACGUGCUACAAUGGUCGGUACAACGAGUUGCGAGCCGGUGACGGCAAGCUAAUCUCUGAAAGCCGAUCUCAGUUCGGAUUGGAGGCUGCAACUCGCCUCCAUGAAGUCGGAAUCGCUAGUAAUCGCGGAUCAGCACGCCGCGGUGAAUACGUUCCCGGGCCUUGUACACACCGCCCGUCACACCACGAGAGUUUGUAACACCCGAAGUCGGUGAG